AGGCUAGAAAAUUGGGCAAUGGGGGAAACCCUGACCCAGCGACGCCGCGUGCAGGAAGAAGCCCUUCGGGGUGUAAACUGCUGUCGUGCGGGGCGAAGGGCUCAUAGGUGAAUAAUCUAUGGGCUUGACGGUACCGCAGGAGGAAGCCCAGGCUAACCUCGUGCCAGCAGCCGCGGUAAUACGGGGUGGGCAAGCGUUGCCCGGAAUUACUGGGUUUAAAGGGGGUGUAGGCGGCCGGGAGAGUCAGGUGUGUAAUCCAACCGCUCAACGGUUGGGCUGCAUCUGAUACUUCCUGGCUAGAGGGCGUUAGAGGAGAGCGGAACUCCCGGUGUAGCGGUGAAAUGCGUAGAUAUCGGGAGGAACGCCGGUGGCGAAGGCGGCUCUCUUGGGCGUUCCUGACGCUGAGGCCCGAAAGCUGGGGGAGCGAAAGGGAUUAGAUACCCCUGUAGUCCCAGCCGUAAACGAUGGGCACUAGACGUUCCCCUGUAGGGGGGAGUGUCGAAUGGAAACUGAUAAGUGCCCCACCUGGGGAGUACGCCCGCAAGGGUGAAACUCAAAGGAAUUGACGGGGGCCCGCACAAGCGGUGGAGCGCGUGGUUUAAUUCGACGCUAAGCGAAGAACCUUACCUGGGCUUGACAUGCUGGUGGUACCCUGGUGGAAACACUGGGGGACCUCCCGCGAGGGAGGAGCCAGCACAGGUGCUGCACGGCUGUCGUCAGCUCGUGCCGUGAGGUGUUGGGUUAAGUCCCGCAACGAGCGCAACCCCUGCCCUUAGUUGCCACAGCAUCCAAGAGGUGGCUGGGCACUCUAAGGGGACUGCCGCCGAUGAGGCGGAGGAAGGUGGGGAUGACGUCAAGUCCGUGUGGCCUUUAUGUCCAGGGCUACACACGCGCUACAAUGGAUGGUACAAUGGGCUUAGCGACCCCGCGAGGGGGAGCGAAUCCCUUAAAACCAUCCCCAGUUCGGAUUGAGGUCUGCAACCCGACCUCAUGAAGACGGAAUCGCUAGUAAUCGCCUAUCAGCAUGGGGCGGUGAAUACGUUCCCGGGCCUUGUACACACCGCCCGUCACGCCAUGGGAGCCGGGGGCACCUGAAGUCGCUGGCCCAACCCCGCAAGGGGAGGGAGGCGCCUAGGGUGAAACCGGUGACUGGGGCG
This 1157-nucleotide ribosomal RNA is filed under the name uncultured bacterium. Its description in RNAcentral is "bacterial SSU rRNA". It matches the Rfam family "Bacterial small subunit ribosomal RNA", at positions 353 to 1482 of the family's 1533-position model. The record is from RNAcentral.